AUUGAACGCUGGCGGCAUGCCUUACACAUGCAAGUCGAACGGCAGCACGGGAGCAAUCCUGGUGGCGAGUGGCGAACGGGUGAGUAAUAUAUCGGAACGUGCCCAGUCGUGGGGAUAACGUAGCGAAAGCUACGCUAAUACCGCAUACGAUCUAUGGAUGAAAGCGGGGGAUCGCAAGACCUCGCGCGAUUGGAGCGGCCGAUAUCAGAUUAGGUAGUUGGUGAGGUAAAGGCUCACCAAGCCGACGAUCUGUAGCUGGUCUGAGAGGACGACCAGCCACACUGGGACUGAGACACGGCCCAGACUCCUACGGGAGGCAGCAGUGGGGAAUUUUGGACAAUGGGCGCAAGCCUGAUCCAGCAAUGCCGCGUGCAGGAUGAAGGCCUCGGUUGUAACUAGUACGUUUGUUACGGUAACGG
Molecule: ribosomal RNA, 419 nt
Filed under: uncultured bacterium
Lineage: Bacteria
Description: bacterial SSU rRNA
Rfam family: Bacterial small subunit ribosomal RNA
Source: RNAcentral